UUGAACGCACCUUGCGCUCCAUGGUAUUCCGUGGAGCAUGCCUGUUUGAGUGUCAUGAAUACUUCAACCCUCCUCUUUCUUAAUGAUUGAAGAGGUGUUUGGUUUCUGAGCGCUGCUGGCCUUUACGGUCUAGCUCGUUCGUAAUGCAUUAGCAUCCGCAAUCGAACUUCGGAUUGACUUGGCGUAAUAGACUAUUCGCUGAGGAAUUCUAGUCUUCGGACUAGAGCCGGGUUGGGUUAAAGGAAGCUUCUAAUCAGAAUGUCUACAUUUUAAGAUUAGAUCUCAAAUCAGGUAGGACUACCCGCUGAACUUAAGCAUAUCAAUA
RNAcentral lists this ribosomal RNA (325 nucleotides) under Rhodotorula mucilaginosa. RNAcentral's name for it is "eukaryotic LSU rRNA". The stretch from base 1 to 55 matches the Rfam family "5.8S ribosomal RNA", at positions 100 to 154 of the family's 154-position model. The record is from RNAcentral. Lineage: Eukaryota; Fungi; Basidiomycota; Microbotryomycetes; Sporidiobolales; Sporidiobolaceae.